RNAcentral lists this long non-coding RNA (350 nucleotides) under Mus caroli (Ryukyu mouse). RNAcentral's name for it is "lncRNA (MGP_CAROLIEiJ_G0013441.1)". Lineage: Eukaryota; Metazoa; Chordata; Mammalia; Rodentia; Muridae. The record is from RNAcentral.
UUCCCUCCAGCAGUCUGUUACACAAGAGGGCCGCAUGGAGACUACUGGCAGGACAUGUAGCCCCAUAGGGCCAGGUUCAUCUCACUGAGCGCUGGGGUCUGAGGGCGAAGCCCUGCUGUGGACCUUCUGAUGAACAUAAAUGCAUCCUGACCACAACCAGCCAAGAACCCUCCCUGGAUCCUGCCAGCUCUGUGGUCCCUGAUGAAGAUGUAGCUCUCAGCCCUGAUGAUGCAGCUCCCGCGCCCUGCCUGCCUGCCUGCCUGCCGCUCAACUCCCUAUCAUAUUGUUCAUACAUAGACUUACCCUCUGAAACUACAGCCAAUCCUCCAAUUAAAUGUUUUCUUCUUUAA